This 446-nucleotide ribosomal RNA is filed under the name uncultured bacterium. RNAcentral describes it as "SSU rRNA". It matches the Rfam family "Bacterial small subunit ribosomal RNA", at positions 26 to 518 of the family's 1533-position model. The record is from RNAcentral.
AGAACGAACGCUGGCGGCAGGCUUAACACAUGCAAGUCGAACGCGUGUAGCAAUACACGAGUGGCGCACGGGUGAGUAACGCGUGGAUAUCUGCCUUUUGGUUCGGAAUAACCCCGGGAAACUGGGGCUAAUACCGGAUGGUUCCUACGGGAUAAAGAUUUAUCGCCAAAAGAUGAGUCCGCGUACGAUUAGCUAGUUGGUGAGGUAAUGGCUCACCAAGGCGACGAUCGUUAGCUGGUCUGAGAGGACGAUCAGCCACACUGGGACUGAGACACGGCCCAGACUCCUACGGGAGGCAGCAGUGGGGAAUAUUGGACAAUGGGGGCAACCCUGAUCCAGCCAUGCCGCGUGAGUGAUGAAGGCCUUCGGGUUGUAAAGCUCUUUUGGCGGGGACGAUGAUGACGGUACCGCAGAAUAAGCCCGGCUAACUUCGUGCCAGCAGCCGC